GGGGUUGUGGCUCAGUGGAAGAGCGCUUGCCUAGCAUGUGAGAGGCACUGGGUUCGAUUCACAGCACCACA
Molecule: transfer RNA, 71 nt
Filed under: Marmota monax (woodchuck)
Lineage: Eukaryota; Metazoa; Chordata; Mammalia; Rodentia; Sciuridae
Description: tRNA.Ala
Rfam family: tRNA
About the family: Transfer RNA (tRNA) molecules are approximately 80 nucleotides in length. Their secondary structure includes four short double-helical elements and three loops (D, anti-codon, and T loops). Further hydrogen bonds mediate the characteristic L-shaped molecular structure. tRNAs have two regions of fundamental functional importance: the anti-codon, which is responsible for specific mRNA codon recognition, and the 3' end, to which the tRNAs corresponding amino acid is attached (by aminoacyl-tRNA synthetases). tRNAs cope with the degeneracy of the genetic code in two manners: having more than one tRNA (with a specific anti-codon) for a particular amino acid; and 'wobble' base-pairing, i.e. permitting non-standard base-pairing at the 3rd anti-codon position.
Source: RNAcentral